AAUUCUCCACAUUUAAAACUACCAAAUCUAUUUUUAAUUCCCUACUAACUAUCUCUAUUAUACAGUUUUUAUAGAUAAAAUCAGAAAGUAAUACCUCCUUGCUUGGUGUGGAUAUCAUCAAGAUAUGCCCCAAAUAAACAGGUGUAACACCCUAUCGUUUUGCAAAAAUUUGUGACACGAAUGAGUGUGUGGAACUAAGAUCUAGUAAUACCUUAGCUACGUUCUUUGAGACAAGAUACAUACCUUGAACCACAUCUAGGUUUGCUUCAGCAUCUACUAUAGUAAGUGUGUACACUCGUCCCCGUCAUUGAGCUUCUAGUUGUUCCUUCAUAAGUGGGUAGGUAUGGAUCAGAUGUUAUUGGCUACCACACUUAAAAUAGGAUCGAGUGACACGAUGACACAACUGAUUACCAUGAUUUUUUCCACAAGUGCGGCAACUCGGUGCCCUACCAGCAGUUGAUGGUGGUCUAGGAGAUACCUUUGUUAUCAUUCUGGGUCUCUUAUCUUGUGAACUAAAUCGUGGAAUUUGUCUUCUCAGAGGUACCAGGGGUUUAAAACUACCUGUUUUGGAGAAUAAACCCCUCAAUCUACUUUCUACUAUUUCUGCUUUUGCCAAAACCU
RNAcentral lists this long non-coding RNA (621 nucleotides) under Carica papaya (papaya). Its description in RNAcentral is "long non-coding RNA (CPAP_LNC006893)". Lineage: Eukaryota; Viridiplantae; Streptophyta; Magnoliopsida; Brassicales; Caricaceae. The record is from RNAcentral.